GACGAACGCUGGCGGCGUGCUUAACACAUGCAAGUCGAGCGGUAAGGCCCUUUCGGGGGUACACGAGCGGCGAACGGGUGAGUAACACGUGGGUGACCUGCCUUUAGCUCUGGGAUAAGCCUGGGAAACUGGGUCUAAUACCGGAUAUGACCCUAUGGCGCAUGUUGUGGGGUGGAAAGCCUUGUGCGGCUAGGGAUGGGCCCGCGGCCUAUCAGCUUGUUGGUGGGGUGAUGGCCUACCAAGGCGACGACGGGUAGCCGGCCUGAGAGGGCGACCGGCCACACUGGGACUGAGACACGGCCCAGACUCCUACGGGAGGCAGCAGUGGGGAAUCUUGCGCAAUGGGCGAAAGCCUGACGCAGCGACGCCGCGUGAGGGAUGACGGCCUU
This 389-nucleotide ribosomal RNA is filed under the name uncultured bacterium. RNAcentral's name for it is "bacterial SSU rRNA". It matches the Rfam family "Bacterial small subunit ribosomal RNA", at positions 28 to 418 of the family's 1533-position model. The record is from RNAcentral.